This 1196-nucleotide ribosomal RNA is filed under the name viral metagenome. RNAcentral's name for it is "bacterial LSU rRNA". It matches the Rfam family "Bacterial large subunit ribosomal RNA", at positions 1562 to 2751 of the family's 2925-position model. The record is from RNAcentral.
GUGGACGAACCUCUGGUGUUCCGGUUGUCACGCCAGUGGCACUGCCGGGUAGCUAAGCUUCAGGUAACUAGGAACCGUACCCCAAACCGACACAGGUGGUUGGGUAGAGAAUACCAAGGCGCUUGAGAGAACUCGGGUGAAGGAACUAGGCAAAAUGGCACCGUAACUUCGGGAGAAGGUGCGCCGGUGAGGGUGAAGGAUUUACUCCGUAAGCCCAUGCCGGUCGAAGAUACCAGGCCGCUGCGACUGUUUAUUAAAAACACAGCACUCUGCAAACACGAAAGUGGACGUAUAGGGUGUGACGCCUGCCCGGUGCCGGAAGGUUAAUUGAUGGGGUUAGCGCAAGCGAAGCUCUUGAUCGAAGCCCCGGUAAACGGCGGCCGUAACUAUAACGGUCCUAAGGUAGCGAAAUUCCUUGUCGGGUAAGUUCCGACCUGCACGAAUGGCGUAACGAUGGCGGCGCUGUCUCCACCCGAGACUCAGUGAAAUUGAAAUCGCUGUGAAGAUGCAGUGUAUCCGCGGCUAGACGGAAAGACCCCGUGAACCUUUACUGUAGCUUUGCACUGGACUUUGAGCCUGCUUGUGUAGGAUAGGUGGGAGGCUUUGAAGCGAGGACGCCAGUUCUCGUGGAGCCAUCCUUGAAAUACCACCCUGGCAUGUUUGAGGUUCUAACUCUGGUCCGUCAUCCGGAUCGAGGACAGUGUAUGGUGGGCAGUUUGACUGGGGCGGUCUCCUCCCAAAGAGUAACGGAGUAGUACGAAGGUGCGCUCAGACCGGUCGGAAAUCGGUCGCAGAGUAUAAAGGCAAAGCGCGCUUGACUGCGAGACAGACACGUCGAGCAGGUACGAAAGUAGGUCUUAGUGAUCCGGUGGUUCUGUAUGGAAGGGCCAUCGCUCAACGGAUAAAAGGUACUCCGGGGAUAACAGGCUGAUACCGCCCAAGAGUUCAUAUCGACGGCGGUGUUUGGCACCUCGAUGUCGGCUCAUCACAUCCUGGGGCUGAAGCCGGUCCCAAGGGUAUGGCUGUUCGCCAUUUAAAGUGGUACGCGAGCUGGGUUUAGAACGUCGUGAGACAGUUCGGUCCCUAUCUGCCGUGGACGUUGAGAUUUGAGAGGGGCUGCUCCUAGUACGAGAGGACCGGAGUGGACGAACCUCUGGUGUUCCGGUUGUCACGCCAGUGGCACUGCCGGGUAGCUA